Molecule: ribosomal RNA, 169 nt
Filed under: Anguilla marmorata (giant mottled eel)
Lineage: Eukaryota; Metazoa; Chordata; Actinopteri; Anguilliformes; Anguillidae
Description: partial small subunit ribosomal RNA
Source: RNAcentral
CACCGCGGUUAUACGAGGGGCUCAAAUUGAUAUUACACGGCGUAAAGCGUGAUUAAAAAACAAACAAACUAAAGCCAAACACUUCCCAAGCUGUCAUACGCUACCGGACAAAACGAAGCCCCACUACGAAAGUAGCUUUAACACCUUUGAACUAACGACAGUUGAGAAA